RNAcentral lists this ribosomal RNA (456 nucleotides) under Shewanella sp. enrichment culture clone MS1-20. Its description in RNAcentral is "bacterial SSU rRNA". It matches the Rfam family "Bacterial small subunit ribosomal RNA", at positions 8 to 472 of the family's 1533-position model. The record is from RNAcentral. Lineage: Bacteria; Pseudomonadati; Pseudomonadota; Gammaproteobacteria; Alteromonadales; Shewanellaceae.
AGAGUUUGAUCCUGGCUCGCAUUGAACGCUGGCGGCAGGCCUAACACAUGCAAGUCGAGCGGUAACAGGAAGAAAGCUUGCUUUCUUUGCUGACGAGCGGCGGACGGGUGAGUAAUGCCUAGGGAACUGCCCAGUCGAGGGGGAUAACAGUUGGAAACGACUGCUAAUACCGCAUACGCCCUACGGGGGAAAAGAGGGGACCUUCGGGCCUUCUGCGAUUGGAUGUACCUAGGUGGGAUUAGCUAGUAAGUGAGGUAAUGGCUCACCUAGGCGACGAUCCCUAGCUGGUCUGAGAGGAUGAUCAGCCCCCCUGGGAUGAGACACGGCCCAACUCCUACGGAGGCCAGUGGGGAUAUUGCACAUGGUCGCGGCCUGAUGCAGCCAUGCCGCGGUGUGAGAAGGCUUCGGUUGUAAGCCCUUCCGCGAGAGAAAGGUAGUGUUAUAGCCUUACUGGGA